Molecule: small nuclear RNA, 106 nt
Filed under: Dasypus novemcinctus (nine-banded armadillo)
Lineage: Eukaryota; Metazoa; Chordata; Mammalia; Cingulata; Dasypodidae
Source: RNAcentral
GUGCUCAUUUUGGCAGCACAUGUACUAAAAUUGGAAUGAUACAGAGAAUAAUAGCAUGGCCCUGGGCAAGAAUGAUACGGAAAUUCGUGAAGCAUUCCACUAAAAA